This 2977-nucleotide ribosomal RNA is filed under the name coral metagenome. RNAcentral's name for it is "eukaryotic LSU rRNA". The stretch from base 1713 to 2977 matches the Rfam family "Eukaryotic large subunit ribosomal RNA", at positions 1889 to 3303 of the family's 3401-position model. The record is from RNAcentral.
UUUGGCGAUGUCAAGAAAGCGUUCGAUUCGGUCUCGCACCAAUCGGUCAUCCUGGCUGCAAAAAGCCUGGGUGCGCCCACCCUGUUGCUUUCGUACUUAUCCGAACUCUACUCAGACGCAUGGACCAUCAUCCAUGUGGGUGGAGAACGGAGUGAGGUGAUCCGUAGCAGACGAGGCGUUAGACAAGGAGACCCUAUGUCACCCCACCUGUUUAAUGCAGUUAUUGAUUGGGUCAUUGAAGACCUUGACCUGAGCAUUGGUGCCCUCAUUGGUGAAGGGAGGACGAACGUAUGCGCCUUUGCAGACGACCUCGUCCUCAUUGCAGCCACACCACUCAGUCUCCAAUCCCUGCUGGACUCUCUGGACCGGGCCCUAGGGCUGGUCGGCCUGGAGAUCUCAGCGGGGACCAACGGAAAGUCAGCAUCCUUGCGGAUCGAUAUCGAUGGUAGGGCAAAGAGAUGGGUUGUGAAUACACACCCGUUCCUCCGAGUAACAAGGUUGCCGGAGGAUGAGGGGCUGAUCCCGACUCGAUCACCCAAGCCCAAAAAUACCUGGGCGUCGAGAUCUCCGCGGGGGCCAUCAGAGCAAAGGCAGCAAACAAACUGCGAGAGGACUCUCAAACCUCUCCGCAGCGCCGCUCAAGCCUCAAUAGAGGCUGCACAUUCUAAAUCACCACCUGCUGCCAGUGCUCUAUCAUGAGCUAGUCCUGACACCCUUUCCGGACAAAUUCAUGCACUGGCUUGACCGCAGUAUACGAGGUGCGCUCAGAUCCUGGCUAAAGAUGCCCAAAGACACACCGGUCACCUACUACCACGCGGAAGUGGCGGACGGAGGUCUCGGGGUUCCCCUGCUUAGUCAGACCGUGCCGCUCAUGAGAUCCAAGCGGCUAGGCAGACUAGGUCACUCGGAUGACCCUGUGAUCUUGGCGAUGGUAGAAUACGUUGCAGCUCGACCGGGUUUGCAGCGUCAUCUGCAGGCUAAGAAAUAUGGUGACUCGCUUAUAAACACCAGGGAGACGCGCCUCGCUUAUAAACACCAGGGAGACGCGCCAUGCUGCUCUGGCUGGCCAACUCCAUCGGUCAGUUGACGGACGAGGCCUGGCUCCAUCCGCAAUGGUCCCAGACCAGCAUGGGUGGAUCCAGAACCCACUGAGCACCACCACGGGUCGAUCGUUUGUAGAGGCAAUAGCGCUCCGAGGCAGCCUGCUGCCCACAGCUUUACGUGGUUCUAGGGGGCGUCCCGACGCCCCCACCGCUUGUGACGCCUGUGGGAGACCGGAGUCACUUGGACACAUCCUCCAGGUGUGCCCCCGAUCCCAAGUGGAGAGACAAUUAGGUCGUGCAGCUGGUCGCCCGAAACGCUAAACGGAGGGGCUGGAGUUGUAUGGUCGAACCAACCAUCCCCACUAGGGCUGGCGUCCGUAGGCCGGACAUCGUGCUCUACAAAGGCACGGGCCCUGCGUGCAUGAUCGACACCCAGGUGGUGGCCGACAAUGCCGACCUCUCCGUUUCCCACCACCGCAAAUGUGACUACUACAAUCAAGUCGAGAUCACUUCUUGGGUGCACCACCAGAUGGGAGAGGAGCAUAUUAUAUACUCGAGCGUCACGCUGUCGUGGCGUGGCCUCUUGUCUGGCGAGAGUGCAGACUGUCUACUUAAGACAGUGGGGCUCAGUAAAGUCACCCUCGCCCUCAUCUCUCAGGUAACCCUAGAGAUGGGUCACAGAGUGUACCGACAGUUCAAAAGGUCCACUCUUAGAAUGUGCUAAGCCCCCCAGUCGUGCUCAUAUUCUACGAGCACCACCGUCGGGCAUACUGAGCCCCCUAAUGGUGGUCGUCCAAUCUUUUCCCUCUCUAAGUUGGGGUUCAUAUAUAAUGCACAGGGUUAAGCUUUCCCUCCAAAAAGCACAUAAUUGUAGAUGCACAAUUUAGAGUAGCCAAAUGCCUCGUCAUAUAAUUAGUGACGCGCAUGAAUGGAUUAACGAGAUUCCCACUGUCCCUAUCUACUAUCUAGCGAAACCGCAGCAAAGGGAACGGACUUUGCAGAAUCAGCGGGGAAAGAAGACCCUGUUGAGCUUGACUCUAGUCUGACCUUGUUAAAAGACAUGAGAGGUGAAGAAUAAGUGGGGGUCGGGGGGCCUCGCGGCCGUCCGGCGACGGUGAAAUUCCACUACUCUUAUCGUUUUUUUACUUGCUGGAUGGAGCGGAGGGGAACCGCAAGGUUCACUUUCUGGACUUCAGCCUUUUUCCAUUUUCGGCUGGAGAUGGUGAUCCGAGUCCGAGACAGCAUCAGGUUAGGAGUUUGGCUGGGGCGGCACAUCUGUCAAAGGAUAACGCAGGUGUCCUAAGGUGAGCUCAAUGAGAACGGAAAUCUCAUGUAGAACAAAAGGGUAAAAGGUGACUUGAUUUUGGUUUUCAGUAGGAAUACAAACCGUGAAAGCGUGGCCUAUCGAUCCUUUAGCGUUUAUGAGUUUUAAGCUAGAGGUGUCAGAAAAGUUACCACAGGGAUAACUGGCUUGUGGCAGCCAAGCGUUCAUAGCGACGUUGCUUUUUGAUCCUUCGAUGUCGGCUCUUCCUAUCAUUGCGAAGCAGAAUUCGCCAAGUGAUGGAUUGUUCACCCACCAAUAGGGAACGUGAGCUGGGUUUAGACCGUCGUGAGACUUUCACGACUUUCUUAUAUUUUGCAAGUUCCCUUUUCACCAGGACAGCAGCUCAACAUAGUCCUUUUUCAAGUGGAUGAGCAAACUGCUCAGACAAAGAUGGAUGGAUUUUUUUUUUAAGGGACAGAGCCUUCUGAGAUCCUGCUUGAGCAGUGCUUUAUCUUUCUCUUAACGCCUAUGGGUAUGAGUAGUUGACUGAGAGGCGACACUGUUUAUCUCAAGGUUUUCAACAAUUUUCCUUUAACCCCCAGAGGCCUUCUUUCCUUUGCUUUUUGUCUUGUUGCUAACCAUAAUUUUGAUUCCUGUUUUGUUUGCAUUC